UGGGGAAUAUUGCGCAAUGGCCUAACGGCUGACGCAGCGACGCCGCGUGUGGGAGGACGCCCCUCGGGGUGUAAACCACUGUUGCCCGGGACGAACAACUGGUUUCGACCAGUCUGACGGUACCGGGUGAGGAAGCACCGGCUAACUCCGUGCCAGCAGCCGCGGUAAUACGGAGGGUGCGAGCGUUGUCCGGAAUCACUGGGCGUAAAGGGCGCGUAGGUGGCCCCUUAAGUGUGUGGUGAAAGCCCGGGGCUCAACCCCGGGUCGGCCAUGCAAACUGGGGGGCUCGAGCAUUGUAGAGGCAGGCGGAAUUCCGGGUGUAGCGGUGGAAUGCGUAGAGAUCCGGAAGAACACCGGUGGCGAAGGCGGCCUGCUGGGCAAUUGCUGACACUGAGGCGCGACAGCGUGGGGAGCAAACAG
This 420-nucleotide ribosomal RNA is filed under the name uncultured bacterium. RNAcentral's name for it is "bacterial SSU rRNA". It matches the Rfam family "Bacterial small subunit ribosomal RNA", at positions 355 to 775 of the family's 1533-position model. The record is from RNAcentral.